CCAUGCUCCUGCAAACUUGCUCCUGUUUGCUAGCAAGAUGAGUCGGGAUCUUAUUUUUCUUCACCUGAUAGUGGCAAAAAUAACUCAAGCGUUCCAUCACUCUGCAAUCCGACAAGAACAACUCAAGCGUUCUGCAAUCUAUGGGCCUUGAGGUGCGGAUUUGAAAGCCCUCCGAUCUUUAUAUGCUGGGCAUUGUUUGGAUCCCUCUCCUCCAUCUUCCCUCCUCAUCCUAAAAAAAUUUGUCAGAUUAUUACUGUCUCUUAGUAACUGCUUGAUCUUGUACAAUAUUCUGAUCCCUUUAAUCUAGCAAAUGACCUAUAGUUCACCAUCCAGCUGAUUUGACAUUAAUCUAUAGUUGAUCUUUCUGUUGACUACUUCGGUCGACGGUCCUCUUGCUUGGUCUAUCAAAUACCAUACUUGGCCACUUCCUUGGACAAAACCAAAUG
RNAcentral lists this long non-coding RNA (446 nucleotides) under Elaeis guineensis (African oil palm). RNAcentral describes it as "long non-coding RNA (EGUI_LNC038699)". The record is from RNAcentral. Lineage: Eukaryota; Viridiplantae; Streptophyta; Magnoliopsida; Arecales; Arecaceae.